Molecule: ribosomal RNA, 119 nt
Filed under: Triticum aestivum (bread wheat)
Lineage: Eukaryota; Viridiplantae; Streptophyta; Magnoliopsida; Poales; Poaceae
Also listed under: 1 other name
Source: RNAcentral
GGAUGCGAUCAUACCAGCACUAAAGCACCGGAUCCCAUCAGAACUCCGAAGUUAAGCAUGCUUGGGCGAGAGUAGUACUAGGAUGGGUGACCUCUUGGGAAGUCCUCGUGUUGCAUUCC